Molecule: ribosomal RNA, 775 nt
Filed under: uncultured bacterium
Lineage: Bacteria
Description: bacterial SSU rRNA
Rfam family: Bacterial small subunit ribosomal RNA
Source: RNAcentral
UAGGUGGUUUGUCGCGUUGUUCGUGAAAUCUCACGGCUUAACUGUGAGCGUGCGGGCGAUACGGGCAGACUUGAGUACUGCAGGGGAGACUGGAAUUCCUGGUGUAGCGGUGGAAUGCGCAGAUAUCAGGAGGAACACCGGUGGCGAAGGCGGGUCUCUGGGCAGUAACUGACGCUGAGGAGCGAAAGCGUGGGGAGCGAACAGGAUUAGAUACCCUGGUAGUCCACGCCGUAAACGGUGGGUACUAGGUGUGGGUUUCCUUCCUUGGGAUCCGUGCCGUAGCUAACGCAUUAAGUACCCCGCCUGGGGAGUACGGCCGCAAGGCUAAAACUCAAAGAAAUUGACGGGGGCCCGCACAAGCGGCGGAGCAUGUGGAUUAAUUCGAUGCAACGCGAAGAACCUUACCUGGGUUUGACAUGCACAGGACGCCGGCAGAGAUGUCGGUUCCCUUGUGGCCCGUGUGCAGGUGGUGCAUGGCUGUCGUCAGCUCGUGUCGUGAGAUGUUGGGUUAAGUCCCGCAACGAGCGCAACCCUUGUCUCAUGUUGCCAGCGGGUAAUGCCGGGGACUCGUGAGAGACUGCCGGGGUCAACUCGGAGGAAGGUGGGGAUGACGUCAAGUCAUCAUGCCCCUUAUGUCCAGGGCUUCACACAUGCUACAAUGGCCGGUACAAAGGGCUGCGAUGCCGCGAGGUUAAGCGAAUCCUUUUAAAGCCGGUCUCAGUUCGGAUCGGGGUCUGCAACUCGACCCCGUGAAGUCGGAGUCGCUAGUGAUCGC